RNAcentral lists this long non-coding RNA (663 nucleotides) under Mus spicilegus (steppe mouse). RNAcentral's name for it is "lncRNA (ENSMSIG00000024674.1)". Lineage: Eukaryota; Metazoa; Chordata; Mammalia; Rodentia; Muridae. The record is from RNAcentral.
AUGGAGGCAGCUCAGCUCAGCGUAGUAGAAGCCAGUUCUUUAGAACAGCCCCUGACUGGUCUCUCCUGCUGCUGUUGGAGUCAUGUGGACAUACAGACAUCAGUCUGUAUGUUGUCAUACACGCGCUUGAACAACAACGGCUGGACCAUCUCCUUACAUCUUCUCAUGCGAAUGCGCAUGCCUGGUUCUCUAGGGCACGUCCUCUUGGAGACCGUUCCUCCCCACCCCAUGGCACUGUGCCCAGCCCACUUUCCCUCUUGUCGGACUGUUACAUCAUCGCAUCUUACUUGUCUGCCUAGCGCUUACUUCCCUCUUGUGUAUUCAUUAGCUGACUUGUUUAUUGUGUCUUCACCAAUCAGAAUGUGGUUCUGUGAAGGAAGAGGCUCUGCCUUGUUCUUGGGAAUCUCCAGGGUCCUGAGGAUGCUUGGCCAGAGAACAACCCUGAAGGAGCACUUGUAGGGUCCGUCUCCACAUCAUCACAGAGAUACCAGCACAGGACCCACUCUGCAAGGCUUUCAGCGCAGGGAGCCCUUCCUUCAAGCUGGGAGAUACCAGGAUCAAUUAUGAAUGUUAUUUCUUUAGCAGUCUGAACUUCAGCCUUUAAAAGACUCUCUGAGUCUUCAUUUGCUCAAUAAAGACCUUUCUCCUUGAUGCCUGUGAGGU